UACGAAGGGGGCUAGCGUUGCUCGGAAUCACUGGGCAUAAAGCGCACGUAGGCGGCUUUCUAAGUCAGGGGUGAAAUCCUGGAGCUCAACUCCAGAACUGCCUUUGAUACUGGAGAGCUUGAGUCCGGGAGAGGUGAGUGGAACUCCGAGUGUAGAGGUGAAAUUCGUAGAUAUUCGCAAGAACACCAGUGGCGAAGGCGGCUCACUGGCCCGGUACUGACGCUGAGGUGCGAAAGCGUGGGGAGCAAACAGGG
Molecule: ribosomal RNA, 254 nt
Filed under: uncultured bacterium
Lineage: Bacteria
Description: partial 16S ribosomal RNA
Rfam family: Bacterial small subunit ribosomal RNA
Source: RNAcentral